This 341-nucleotide unclassified non-coding RNA is filed under the name soil metagenome. RNAcentral's name for it is "partial contains 5.8S ribosomal RNA, internal transcribed spacer 2, and large subunit ribosomal RNA". The stretch from base 1 to 120 matches the Rfam family "5.8S ribosomal RNA", at positions 35 to 154 of the family's 154-position model. The record is from RNAcentral.
GAUGAAGAACGUAGCGAAAUGCGAUAAGUAGUGUGAAUUGCAGAAUCCAGUGAAUCAUCGAAUCUUUGAACGCACAUUGCGCCCUUUGGUAUUCCAAAGGGCAUGCCUGUUCGAGCGUCAUUUGUACCCUCAAGCUUUGCUUGGUGUUGGGCGUCUUGUCUCUAGCUUUGCUGGAGACUCGCCUUAAAGUAAUUGGCAGCCGGCCUACUGGUUUCGGAGCGCAGCACAAGUCGCACUCUCUAUCAGCAAAGGUCUAGCAUCCAUUAAGCCUUUUUUUCAACUUUUGACCUCGGAUCAGGUAGGGAUACCCGCUGAACUUAAGCAUAUCAAUAAGCGGAGGA